RNAcentral lists this ribosomal RNA (308 nucleotides) under uncultured bacterium. RNAcentral describes it as "bacterial SSU rRNA". It matches the Rfam family "Bacterial small subunit ribosomal RNA", at positions 504 to 811 of the family's 1533-position model. The record is from RNAcentral.
CGUGCCAGCAGCCGCGGUAAUACGUAGGUGGCAAGCGUUGUCCGGAUUUAUUGGGCGUAAAGCGCGCGCAGGUGGUUUCUUAAGUCUGAUGUGAAAGCCCACGGCUCAACCGUGGAGGGUCAUUGGAAACUGGGAGACUUGAGUGCAGAAGAGGAUAGUGGAAUUCCAAGUGUAGCGGUGAAAUGCGUAGAGAUUUGGAGGAACACCAGUGGCGAAGGCGACUGUCUGGUCUGUAACUGACACUGAGGCGCGAAAGCGUGGGGAGCAAACAGGAUUAGAUACCCUGGUAGUCCACGCCGUAAACGAUG